CGUAGCUGUUAGUUAACUUUUCUUGCGUAGUGACGUAUUUUUGACGCUGAGGAAGCUCCCGGAAUAUGGAUGGAAAGCAAAUCUCAACACAGGUCCGAAAUUUGAUUGUGCGUGACUUCCAGCGUAGGAAGUCUCAACGAAACUUUGCUGAGAAAUAUGGGUUUACAGGAAGGGACACUAUCUUAAAAAAAUUACUACCGAAUGGCAGCAGAUGAAGCCAGCGAAUACAAGGGAAGGUGAUCAACGAGAGAAUAUGAGACGAAUAGAUAAGUUCAGUUAGAGCAAUUGAUCAUUGGAAUUGGAAUUUCGACGCAUAGACAUAUUUUGGACUAUUAUUGUUUUCCUGUUUUACAUGCUUAAAUAUUUAUUUUGUCUUAUUUUUUAGUGUUUUUUCAUAGUUUAUUUCCCCCUUCUUCAAGCAAAAUAAGGUAUGAGAGUUUGUUCCACAAAUCGUUACUCUGUAGUAUAUAGCUAAUUCUGUUCUUACCGCAAGUGGAUUGUUGAGUUUUAUUUUUUUUUUGUUCGCCUCUAUUUCAAGCCUCUCGUCAUUCACAAUGACAAUCAUAGCAUUUCCGUUCUCCCAAAACGAAGCAAGCACUAACACUAAUCCGGGCGUAGAAACAAAAGCGAAAGGAAAUGGGUAAAUUCAAAACACGGGGCUACGUUCCUGAGAUCAUGUCUUGUUUUGUUAUUGUUAUCGAAUUGUUUGUUUAUCGUAUCUCCCCUCUUGGUUUCCUUUGUUGCCAAAAAAAAAAGGGUCUACUAUUCGGUUUAAAUAAAAAAAAGUUACGAAAUAAA
Long non-coding RNA from Toxorhynchites rutilus septentrionalis, 798 nucleotides. RefSeq lists it as uncharacterized. Lineage: Eukaryota; Metazoa; Arthropoda; Insecta; Diptera; Culicidae. The record is from RefSeq and is a predicted model, not a curated record. The transcript has 2 exons.